RNAcentral lists this ribosomal RNA (270 nucleotides) under uncultured archaeon. RNAcentral's name for it is "partial 16S ribosomal RNA". It matches the Rfam family "Archaeal small subunit ribosomal RNA", at positions 477 to 747 of the family's 1478-position model. The record is from RNAcentral.
CAGCGGCCCUAGUGGUGAUCGUUAUUAUUGGGCCUAAAGCGUCCGUAGCCGGUUCGGUAAAUCUCUGGGUAAAUCGUUGGGCUUAACUCAACGAAUUCUGGGGAGACUGCCGAACUUGGGACCGGGAGAGGUCGGAGGUACUCCAGGGGUAGGGGUGAAAUCCUGUAAUCCUUGGGGGACCACCGGUGGCGAAGGCGUCCGACCAGAACGGGUCCGACGGUAAGGGACGAAGCCCUGGGGCGCGAACCGGAUUAGAUACCCGAGUAGUCC